AAUAAGGCUGUGCUACGGGAGGGGAUAAUCGCACACGGAGAACUUUUGGCUGCCGACACAGUUGUGGGCCAGAGUGUGGUGGGACAAUGGUGGUGAGCGUGGCAGCUGUCAUGGCGGAGUUUAAAAAGAUGAUCUUGGCAUGGAAUUAAAAAAAAAAAAAAAAAAAAAGAGGCAAGGGAGGAGGAUAAGGGCGAGGGCCAAAGAAUGGACUGAUUCAUUUGCAAAUUGGGGCCCUGGCGCAUGGGCUCCAUUCUCAGCCAGGAGUUAACAAGGUAAUCAGUUUCAGUCUCUAACCCUGCAUUGUGCUGUGCACCUCUCCGCAGAGUCGAGGUGUGAAUAAAGAGUGUACACACACACACACACACACACACACACCUGAGCAUUUGUUUACAGUGUAGUCUCUCCACCUCCUGACAUGCUCAAACUGUUACAUAAUAGAGUGUAGGGUAAGGAGAAUGACAUUGUGUAAAAAGCAGGGGAAAAGACAGACAGACAGACAAACACAGAGAGAGAGAGAGAGAGAGAGAGAGAGAGAGAGAGAGAGAGAGAGAGAGAGAGUGUGAGUGUACAGCUGUGUCCAUUCUUCUCUCAAUGUCCCUGCCCGGCCCUGGGGCCCUUCUGUGAGACCCCAGGAAGAAAGAAAAAGAAAGAAAGAAAAAAAAGGUGCACUUCAGUCUCCUCUCCUCUUUCUCUCGAUCCGCAUUUCUGUUCAGAGAAAUCUGAUCCAGUCGUAAUUGCAAAGCAAACACAAACGUGUACACGGUGCACACACAAAUCAAACACACGCAAUCACACUGAAUCACACUACGCAAAAUACCGGAAUCAAAAUACAUGCUCGAGCAAAAAGUCAUCGAACCUAUUAUUAUUACUUUCAUUCUGUAGUAAUUACAAAUAGCAAAAAGUUCGUCUUAAUCUAAUACAUCGUGGUUAUUUUAUAAAGGAAUGAGAGUCCUAUAACAGGUCAUCAUCAGUCUAUUUUCCCUCGACAGGAAAAAAAAAAAAAAAAAGGGGAGGAAAAGCUACUUUAAAAAAAACUAAGCAGCCCAAACUUUGUUGCUAAUUAAAGUCCCCGGUGCUAGCAAAAAUGUAGACUCUGUAUGAUCUCAUCAUGAAACUCGCAGCAUUUUCAGCCUGCAGUAAGGGAGAAGAGUGAAGCAGUCUAGAUAAAAUUCUCUUUAUACAUAAAGCAGACAGACAGCAGCGAAGAUUUGAACAGCCAACAUUAGCAUGUGAUUAAUCUAAAAUCGGAUCGGUCACUGAGAUUUUUGUCCUUUCUGGUGGUACUGUAUUUACUGAACGUACCCGUGCGUGUAAACGACAGGCUUUCCUGGACGGAAAUUUCAGGAAUUGGUUUUCUUUUGCGUGUAUCUCAACCGGAAGUAAUCCAGUCAGGUUUUUGCGGGUCCUGCCGCUGCGAUGGAUCUUGUUGGGAAACCAAAUGUUACAUCAGUGGUCUGGGAACAUUUUGGAUUCGUGCCUAAGGAGAGAGGUGAACCAAUACAUUUGGAUGAAGCCGUAUGUCGGCUUUGCGGGGAAAAAAACAAGCAUUUAAACAGGCGCGUUUAAAAACUACAAAUCUCAGCAGCCAUCUCCAGGCAUGUCACUCAACCGCGUUUUUUUUUAAAAUUCUAUUUAAUAUUGAGAUUUUGAACAAAUUAUUUAGGUUACCGUCCUACUGGCAUUUCUUUCAAAGUUUUAUAGGCUUGUAGUAUACUACAAUUGUAAAAGAAAUAAAGUAAUCGUCAGAGAAACUUGCGAACGCGUUUUACUCCAUCUCUUUAUUACCCUGCUUCUUCUCCUUCUCCACUUGCGUGCACUCAUAGUACCGUAUCCCACAGCGCCCUCAGGCUGUUUCUCAUUGCAACGACACGACAUAACAAGGGUGUAUUGAGUUGUUUCAUUGAUGGAAGUGCUAAAAUAAAGCCUCAAUUAAUUUUUUUUUAUAUGUAGGUUUUUAUUUAAGCCUAUAAAAUUAUAUAUAUUAUUAUUAUAUUAUACGGUGAUAUAAAUUUCGCUCAAUAUGACGUCCAAAGACCUGUCACUGCCACUGAAGCAAGCCAUAAUUAGACUAUUAGACACAGCAAAAAAACAAACAGACAAAAAAAAAAACAUUAGGUGUGAUUACCAAAUCAGCUAUUUGGUACAUUCUUAAAAAGAUAAGAAUGCACUGGUGAGAUAAGGAACACCAAUUGACCUGGAAGACCAUGGCAAAUGACUGUGGUGAAUGACCGAAAAUGUCUUUCCCUGGUGAAGAAGAAUCCCUUCAUUACCGCUGGCCAGAUCAAGAACACCCUCCAGGAGGUAGGCAUAUCUGUAUCAAAGUCAAAAAUCAAGAGAAGACUUCACCAGAGUAAAUACAGACUGUUUACCACAAGAUAGAAACCACUGGUAAGCCUCAAAACUAGGAAGACCAGAUUAGAGCUUGUCAAAAAAAAACAUUUACAAAGCCUGUACAGUUCUGGAACAACAUUCUAUGGACAACCGAGACAGAUAUUAACUUGUACCGGAAUGAUUAAGCAUUACGUACACGUAUGGGCUGCCAAUGGAACUGGUUUCCUUCCACUUAUCGAUGAUGAUGAAUUCUGAACUGCAUAAGACUAUAUUAUCUGCUCAGAUUCAGCCAAAUGCUUCACAGUCGCUUCACAGUCCAGACGGACAAUGACCUCAAGCAUACUUCGAAAGCAGCCCACAGAUUGUUUAAGGCAAAGAAGUGGAAUGUUCUGCAAUGUCCAAGUCAAUCACCUGACCUGAAUCCAAUUGAACAUAGAUUUCAUUGCUGAAGGCUAGACUGAAGGCAAAACUCCCCAAGAAGCAGCAGGAACUGAAGACAGCUGCAGAGCAUCACCAGGGAAGAAAAAGCCCGGAGAAUACAGGUGAGGUAGACAAAGAAGUAUACACAUAUAUGAGAAGACUUGACCACCAAACGCCAACAAAUGAGAACAAGAGAACAAGAAAACGAGGAGUCGGAAAAGAGUUGACAGUAAACAAGUUGCCAUUUCAGCCUGGUUGCGAAUAUGACGAAGGAAAGCUCAACAAUCCCACAUUUCUCUCUACAUAUUUUGUUAAGAUCUGAAUCGUUUGGAUUUCGCACCUCAGUGAUCUGCAUGUGUGUUGAGCUCUUUGAAUGUUGUUCACAUCGCUGGCCAGUGAGCGAGAGCUGGACUGUUUGCCAUUUGAAUAAUCAAUAUGACAGCCUUCUUGUUGCCAUUUUGAUUCUGAGUUGCUUCUGUACAGAGGUGUGUGUGUGUGUGUGUGGUGUGUGUGUGCACGUAGUCAUGGCCCUGUUUAACCUUAACUAGAUUAGGGUGAUUAUCCGGGCUCUCAGCCGCCACUGUACAGACGGGAUAAGUGUUCACAAAGCCCCCUCUGUGCAGCGAUCGGCCAAUCUGUGAUUCUUAUUCAUAUCUAAGCCAGCCGGCGCUCUCCUUUCUCCCUCUAACCGCCAUGCUAAGUGACAGAAAGUCCCUCUUUCUCUCAAGCCGAGGAGGAAGAAAGGAGAAAAUUAAUCCAAUAUGGCCUCGAGCGUUCUGUGGUGCUGUGUGGUUUCUUGUCCUGGGGCUUGCUCGGAGAAAGUGCACUUGUGUAUAUGUGUGUGUGUGUGUGUGUGUUUCAAGAAAAGCAAACUCGGAGAAAAUUCAAACAAGCACAGUCCAACAAAUAAAGCAAAAGACGAUCGUUUGAGGAAAAAAAAGCUCUUCGUUAGACACUUUUACAAGCCAGCGUCUGCAUCCGCUCCUGUUACAUUCUCAGAAAGGAAGAAAUACGACGCACUCUAAACAGUAGCACAAUGGGGAAAAUCAUGCCGUUAUGGGUCAAGAGCUUCAGUUAAUGUUCACACCGAACGUCAGAACGAGGAAAAAUUGUGAUCUCGGUGACUUCGUGACACGGCUGUUGCUGCCAGACAGGCUGGUUUGACUAUUUGAGAAACGGCUUACGUCCUGAGAUUUACACAGAAGACAGUCUGUAACGUUUAGGCAAAAUGAUGUCGAAAAGCAUCCAGCAGCUCUGGUGGCAGAAACGCCUCCGAGAGAGGUUGGACACGAAUGACCAGACAGGUUUGAGUUGACAGGAAGGCUACGGUAACUCAAAAGACCGCUUUUUACAACCGUGGUGAACAGAAAAGCAUCUCGGAACGCACCUCGAGCCUUGAGGUGGAUGUGCUGUAAGGGCAGAAAAUCUCGAGGAGAUCAGAUAGUAAUGAGGGAAAGUGGGCGGGGCUUUCAGGGUCUCAGUUAAUAUCUGAGUUCAAAACACCUCUACAACUGUCAAUCAUUCCACACUCACUCCCACCUGGUGAUUUGUUCAUCUACCUUUUUUAUUGAGGGGGAAAAAAAUUGAAGACUUUUUUAUUUUACGUAUUUUUUAAAUUGAUAACUCGUAGCAGCUCACUCUGAUCCAUUCAACUUUAGCACUAUUCUUCAUCGAUACACCGUCUUCUCUUCACUUUACGCAAACUGCAUUACACAUUUUGCAGAAAAACCACAUCGAAGGAAAAAACUCUGUGAAAGUGCUCCAUGCUCGUGUACACAGCUAGACGAUCAGGCAACUCCAUCCAACUGCAAUCCUGUUCUAAUAACAUAAUACCCCUCUGUGUAAUAUUUAAUGGCUUUUCAGCAUCGUAACAAGCCGUGGCAGGUCUGCCUGUGUCGAUUUGACACAAACGCCGGCGCGUCCUCUGGCACGUCGCCUCACUGGGGUUACCAACUCGUGUGUGUUGAUACCACACAGUCGUUGUUCCUAAUUUCAUCAGCUCAGCACUAAUUACAUCCCUAGAACAAGGUAAUUAUCCUGGACGGCGUGUUACGAACGACCACACGCACUUCAAUGUUUGUUGGGUUUCCUAAAUUUAGUAUAAAAAAAAUUUAAAAAACAGCUUGCAACAGCUGUGCAAGUCGUACAUUUAUUUCUGUCAAAAUAAUAAACCUGGCACGAACACUUCCUCGAGUUGUGAAUGUAGCACUAAUCAAGCUUUACUAUUUCAAAGCUGCUAUUGUUGUAUCGGAUGUCAACAAUCUGUCUAUGUAUGCGGAAAGUAUAUACUGUCCAACCACAAGCAGAAGGGAUCACAGUGCUGUAUGGGUUUUUUUGUUUCGUUUUUAGAGCGAGAGCUGAUUAGAAACCCCAAAAUAAUAGCAUUCACUGAAUACACGGGCACAGCUUCAGCCCUUUCAUCUUAUACAACUCCGUGACAACGGCAGACAGAUAAAGACUGAUGAGGAAAAAAUUCGAACGGCGAUGAAAAACCGGUAUGAAAAUAUGAACAAAACAAUCCGCAGGUUUGUAUGCGUAUUACUGAGUGACAAACUGCAUAAUUUAAUGAGCCACGAGGAAGGAUUUUAUUCCAGUAGUGGCCCUUCGCAAAUUAGUUAUAAACAGGAAAUGGGGCUCGCUACACAAGAUUUUGCCAAACCAGGACAAAUAUCUUAAACGAGGGAAGGCUAGCUUGUCCGGUCUGAUCAGACAGAAGAGCUACUGCUGGCUAUGAAAGAAAGGUGUCGGAUCACACAAUGCAUGGGGCUGCGUAUAUGCAGACGGGUCAGAGUGCCCAUGCUGACCCCUGUCCACCGCCGAAAGUGCCUACAAUGGGCACAUGAGCAUCAGAACUGGACCAUGGAGCAAUAGAAAAUGGUGGCCAAGUCUGAUGAAAAUAAUAAAAGUUUUUAAUAUCAUGUGGACGGCCGGGUGCGUGUGUGUCGCUUACGUGGGGAAGAGAUGGCACCAGGAUGCACUAUGGGAAGAAGACAAGCCAGCAGAGGCAGUGUGAUGUUCUGCUGGGAAACCUUAGGUCCUGGCAUUUAAUGUGGAUGCUACUUUGAUACGUACCACCUGCCUAAACGUUGCAGACCAAGUACACCCCUUCAUAGCAACGGUAUUCCCUGGCCUCUUUCAGCGGGAUAAUGCGUCCUGCCACACUGUAAAAAUUGUUCAGGAACGCUUUGAGGAACAUGACAGUAUUCAAGGUGUUGACUCGGCCUCCAAAUUCCCCACAUCUCAAUCCGAUCGAGCGUCUCUGGGAUGUUCUGGACAAACAAGUCCGAUCCAUGGAGGCUCCACCUCGCACCUUACAGGACUUAAAGGAUCUGCUGCUAACGUCUUGGUGCCAGAAACCACAGCACACCUUCAGAGGUCGUAUGGAGUCCAUGCCUCAAUGGGUCAGAGCUGUUUUGGUGGCUCAAUGCAUGUAUGGAAAAUAAAGCUUGGAAGGAAGUACUACAGAUCUUUGGUGUCUCAGGAGAUGGUUGGAACUGAAUGUGUGUUUAACUAACGGCAGUAAGCAGUGUUAGCCUGCACUGCUAGUUUGCUAACAAAACUAAUCGGAAGCCAUUAGCAUUUUCAAUCCGUUUUAAACAGCUGUAAAUAAAGUACUGUAGUAAAUCCUGUGCUGUAAACUUUAUAUUCCAGCUACAACCCUUUUUCACCGGUGGACGAUUGUACAUGCCCAGGAGCGACAAGAGUAGCGUUCAAUACACCACGACAGUAAAAGACAGACUACAAGCGGCACCGGCGACUUUCGAGUCGCUCGCUAGUGUGAACGCACUGUAAUGAAAAAAAGACAACAGAAUGUUUACAGGAUUUAUGAAAUACACAGAUGACGGACCGAUAAAGAAAAGUCAUCAAAACUUAUCGCCUCCUGACACGAUGCGAAAAAGUUAGCUUCUGGUUUUGUUCAUAAAUUAGCCCGGGAAAAUCCUCGUUACUCUUAUAAUUUCUACAAACUGCUACAGAUCACUACGAGAGGCUUUUAAUGGCCAUCAAGGAGAAAAACAAGCGUGGCUGCUGAAAGGAGGACUAAUGAAACAUUUCCUCCAUUUUUAAUUGAUUCAGUCGAUCUUCAUACACUAAAAAGCAGCCAUAAAACGACAAACGCCGCACCGUGCGAGUGUGUAUUUGUGGACGAGCACAUUUCCAUAAUGCUUGUAAAUCCAGACAGAGGCCUGUCAUGUUAGGAUCUCAUAAGCGGCUCCUCUGGAUCAUUUUCCGCCCCCAAAUCACUCUCUCAUUCCCUCUGCCCUCUCUCUUUCCACCAUAAAGCAGCCAGGCCUGAGAAAUUACCAUCGGCCACAACUCUACCUCCACGUGUAGGAUAAUGAAACAGUCGUAAAGUGGGUUGUGUGGAAGUUGGAUGUUGAUUAUGUUGUGUCAGGGAGGAAGGGGAAGGAUGUACCUGCAAAGCUAAACAGUACGGUUCAACCCAGCCCAGAUCUAAUUGGAUUGGGGGAGAUUUUUUAUUUGGCUUUGCCACAGCUCUGUCAUCAUGUUCCAGGCCUGGCUGUGUCUAUAAAAGAGUGUGUGUGUGUGUGUGUGUGUGUGUGUGUGUGUGUGUGUGGUCAGGUUCGCAAUCUAAUAAACCUACAUUUGAGACUGCAAAAGAAGAAUUGUUCAUAUGAUUAUUAACAUGUUUACCAUUUUAUGAAGUCGGCGAUGGGGAGUGUUCUGUCCUACUGACAGAGCCUCUGUGUGUGUGUGUGUGUGUGUGUGUGUGUGUGUGUGUGUGUGUGUGUGUGUGUGUGUGUGUAUGGAUUUAACUAGUCCUAAUGGCUAAACAGAUUACAGACCACGGUAAAUGGAUUGUCACAGCUCUCUAUCAACCACUCAGAGUGUCUCUUCUGCGAUUAGCACUGGCCAGACUUGAACCAUAAACACACACACGCACGCACGCACAUAAAGAGGCCAGGAUUACAGAGACAUGGCCAUGUUAGGCACCCAAACACUGUUUAUCAAAAGGACUCGUCAGUAAUCUGACUUUUACACCUCUGUCACAGAUAUGAGGCCAGGAUGAGAAGAAGGGACCUUACAAACUAUACUAUACAUCUAUGUAAGCCAUAUAACACAAAGGGGCAUGCUGUUAUAGGAAAAUAAUCAAUGAGGUGUUAUUCGUUUAUAGUGGAAUGUCUGUGAAACAAGUCCUGCUACCACUUAUGUUAGAGCAGGUACAAACCACCUCAAUUUUUCUUUCCUUCCCUUAAAUUGAGUCAAAAGUCAAAAAACGCAGCAUGUCCUGCACCCGAGACACCUGGAAGUGCGACAGCCCCCAUCCCCUGGAGGCAAACUCACCGAUCUCCUUCCAUAAAUGUUAAAUAAACAUCUCCUUACAGAACCUACACCAACAUCCAUAUCAAUGAUUGAACACCCUCUGAUAUGAUGUGUUAAAUUAUUAAGCCUGGAUGCCUUCAGAUGACAUGAAGUGUCCACCUUCAGGUCCUUCUGAAUUUGCUGUUACUACAAAAAUGUUCACCGUUACUGUGUUAUGAUUUUACCGCUGCAGUUCAGCGAUCGCCCUAUGUACUAUGAAGUCGCCAGUAACGAUUCCUACUACUGGCUGGCAUUAACAGUGGGUAGCACGACUAGAAUUCGACUUUUGAUAACAAAUCAG
This is a long non-coding RNA of Ictalurus punctatus (channel catfish), 8374 nucleotides long. The record is from Ensembl. NCBI's taxonomy places the organism in Eukaryota, Metazoa, Chordata, Actinopteri, Siluriformes, Ictaluridae.